RNAcentral lists this ribosomal RNA (443 nucleotides) under uncultured bacterium. Its description in RNAcentral is "partial 16S ribosomal RNA". It matches the Rfam family "Bacterial small subunit ribosomal RNA", at positions 338 to 795 of the family's 1533-position model. The record is from RNAcentral.
CCUACGGGAGACAGCAGUGGGGAAUAUUGGGCAAUGGGCGCAAGCCUGACCCAGCAACGCCGCGUGAAGGAAGAAGGCUUUCGGGUUGUAAACUUCUUUUGUCGGGGACGAAGCAAGUGACGGUACCUGACGAAUAAGCCACGGCUAACUGCGUGCCAGCAGCCGCGGUAAUACGUAGGUGGCAAGCGUUAUCCGGAUUUACUGGGUGUAAAGGGCGUGUAGGCGGGACUGCAAGUCAGAUGUGAAAACCACGGGCUCAACCUGUGGCCUGCAUUUGAAACUGUAGUUCUUGAGUACUGGAGAGGCAGAUGGAAUUCCUAGGGUAGCGGUGAAAUGCGUAGAUAUUAGGAGGAACACCAGUGGCGAAGGCGGUCCGCUGGACAGCAACUGACGCUGAGGCGCGAAAGCGUGGGGAGCAAACAGGAUUAGAUACCCGGGUAGUC